CUACGGGCUGCUCCAGUGAGGAAUAUUGCACAAUGGGGGGAACCCUGAUGCAGCAACGCCGCGUGGAGGAUGACGCAUUUCGGUGUGUAAACUCCUUUUAUAUGUCAAGAAAAUGACGGUAGCAUAUGAAUAAGCACCGGCUAACUCCGUGCCAGCAGCCGCGGUAAUACGGAGGGUGCAAGCGUUACUCGGAAUCACUGGGCGUAAAGGGCGCGUAGGCGGGUUGGAAAGUCAGGUGUGAAAUCCUACAGCUUAACUGUAGAACUGCACUUGAAACUUCUAAUCUAGAGUAUGGGAGGGGGAGAUGGAAUUAGUGGUGUAGGGGUAAAAUCCGUAGAUAUCACUAGGAAUACCUAAAGCGAAGGCGAUUUCCUGGAACAUUAUUGACGCUAAGGCGUGAAAGCGUGGGGAGCAAACAGGAUUAGAUACCCCCGUAGUC
Molecule: ribosomal RNA, 439 nt
Filed under: uncultured bacterium
Lineage: Bacteria
Description: partial 16S ribosomal RNA
Rfam family: Bacterial small subunit ribosomal RNA
Source: RNAcentral